Molecule: non-coding RNA, 125 nt
Organism: Tephrocybe rancida
Lineage: Eukaryota; Fungi; Basidiomycota; Agaricomycetes; Agaricales; Lyophyllaceae
Source: the annotation of a GenBank genome assembly
GGUGAGAUGGCCGAGCGGUCUAAGGCGCCAGACUAAGGAUCAAAGCAGUUGCUGCUUCUGACGGUGGGAUUCGAACCCGCUAUCUGGUCCUCCCGGGGGCGUGGGUUCGAAUCCCACUCUCAUCA